RNAcentral lists this ribosomal RNA (253 nucleotides) under uncultured bacterium. Its description in RNAcentral is "partial 16S ribosomal RNA". It matches the Rfam family "Bacterial small subunit ribosomal RNA", at positions 524 to 776 of the family's 1533-position model. The record is from RNAcentral.
UACGUAGGGUGCGAGCGUUGUCCGGAAUUAUUGGGCGUAAAGAGCUCGUAGGCGGUCUGUCGCGUCUGCUGUGAAAACCCGAGGCUCAACCUCGGGCCUGCAGUGGGUACGGGCAGACUAGAGUGCGGUAGGGGAGAUUGGAAUUCCUGGUGUAGCGGUGGAAUGCGCAGAUAUCAGGAGGAACACCGGUGGCGAAGGCGGGUCUCUGGGCCGUAACUGACGCUGAGGAGCGAAAGCAUGGGGAGCGAACAGG